CAAUGCUGCGUUGCAUGAUACAUUUCCAGUGGCGAGCGCCGACGGCGUCCAAUCGUCGGAGUCACCACAAAUGUUUUCAGAGUAUGUAGAAGGAGUCUCAGGACAUGGACCAACACUCAGAAGAAUGGUCCGCACCGAGACCCGCACGAUGACGACGUUCGAUGACGAGGGCCGACCGGUGACGCGCACGGUGACGGAGCGCACCACCACCGAGGCUGACGGCACCGAGAGUCGCCAGCUGGUGGAGACCGAAGACUAAGCGGCAGCCAAGCGCCCUGGCCGGCGCCGAUGGGCGCGCUAGGCGGGCGGCGGCUCGCCAUCAGCACUGGUGCGCGCUGGACAGACUGCUGCCGGCGAACCGAGAUGUGUCCACGGAGGGGAUGGACUUGUGCUGUUUGCCACACUCACGCCGUGUUGCCUUCUGUUUAUGAGAAACGGCUAUUGCUGUGGGGCGGGGCGCGACGCCGGUCGCGCGCGCCUGGGACCGGCCACCCGUCGCCUGGCCAGCAAAUUGCCCCUUGCUGGCUGAGAGGCGGCGUCGGCCCUGGCGGACGGCGGCGGCCCCGGCCCGGGCUUUGCUUGGGUACAGGGCUCAUGGCGACCCACAGAGCACCGGCUUCAGUUGGAGAUCAAAAACACUACCGUUAGGUUUGUCUAUCGAAUGUGACGUUUUGUCCGAAUGCUACAUUGUCUAGUCAAAGGUAGCCCACUAAAUGGUUGAUGAAACUGUGCGGAAAUUCGUUUUCUUUGUGAUUUUUCAUGAAGGAUCGUGUUUUUGAACGGUGGUGGUCAUUGGAAGGACGCUAAAUCUGUAACGUGAACGUUAUGUGCUAAGAAGGGCCACUUUGGCGUGCACUGGUCAUGCAAGCUGCUUUGGGCUUUGAGUAUCCGUGUGUCUGUUGUUAUAUUGCACGCGGGCGCGCGUGCGACGCCGGGCGGGCGUGGCCUCUCUCCAUUCUCGGCGCCGCCCCUGCGGCAGGCCCGGCCCGCUCGGCACGCUGUAGAUCAUGUACCGGCGCGGGCGUGUGCGUGCGCAUGCGCGACUGCGUGUGCUAUUUGGCUUCAAAUACUAGUGUGCGUCCCUUAUUCGCGGCAGCUUGUCAAGGCAGGUCAGGGGUGGCCGGCGGGCCUCACAGGGCCUCGGGACUGGCCGGCCAUCCCUUCUCCGCUGGGGACGCGGACCUCCGCGGUGCGUGCGACAUAUGCCAAUAAAAUAAAUAUAAAA
Long non-coding RNA from Pollicipes pollicipes, 1225 nucleotides. RefSeq lists it as uncharacterized. Lineage: Eukaryota; Metazoa; Arthropoda; Thecostraca; Pollicipedomorpha; Pollicipedidae. The transcript has 3 exons. The record is from RefSeq and is a predicted model, not a curated record.